RNAcentral lists this ribosomal RNA (429 nucleotides) under Verrucomicrobiota bacterium. RNAcentral describes it as "Verrucomicrobia bacterium partial 16S ribosomal RNA". It matches the Rfam family "Bacterial small subunit ribosomal RNA", at positions 355 to 776 of the family's 1533-position model. The record is from RNAcentral. RNAcentral also lists the same sequence under 1 other name. Lineage: Bacteria; Pseudomonadati; Verrucomicrobiota.
UAGGGAAUCUUCCGCAAUGGACGAAAGUCUGACGGAGCAACGCCGCGUGAGUGAAGAAGGAUUUCGGUUCGUAAAACUCUGUUGUUAGGGAAGAAAAAAUGUAUAGUAACUAUAUACAAAAGAGACGGUACCUAACCAGAAAGCCACGGCUAACUACGUGCCAGCAGCCGCGGUAAUACGUAGGUGGCAAGCGUUGUCCGGAAUUAUUGGGCGUAAAGCGCGCGCAGGUGGUUUAGAAAGUCUGAUGUGAAAGCCCACGGCUCAACCGUGGAGGGUCAUUGGAAACUAGUAAACUUGAGUGCAGGAGAGAAAAGUGGAAUUCCUAGUGUAGCGGUGAAAUGCGUAGAGAUUAGGAGGAACACCGGUGGCGAAAGCGGCUUUUUGGCCUGCAACUGACACUGAGGCGCGAAAGCGUGGGGAGCAAACAGG